RNAcentral lists this ribosomal RNA (800 nucleotides) under uncultured bacterium. RNAcentral describes it as "bacterial SSU rRNA". It matches the Rfam family "Bacterial small subunit ribosomal RNA", at positions 8 to 799 of the family's 1533-position model. The record is from RNAcentral.
AGAGUUUGAUCCUGGCUCAGAUUGAACGCUGGCGGAAUGCUUUACACAUGCAAGUCGAACGGCAGCGCGGAGAGCUUGCUCUCUGGUGGCGAGUGGCGAACGGGUGAGUAAUAUAUCGGAACGUGUCCAAUAAUGGGGGAUAACGAGUCGAAAGAUUCGCUAAUACCGCAUACGCCCUACGGGGGAAAGCAGGGGAUCGUAAGACCUUGCGUUAAUGGAGCGGCCGAUAUCUGAUUAGCUUGUUGGUGAGGUAAAGGCUCACCAAGGCGACGAUCAGUAGCUGGUCUGAGAGGACGACCAGCCACACUGGAACUGAGACACGGUCCAGACUCCUACGGGAGGCAGCAGUGGGGAAUUUUGGACAAUGGGCGAAAGCCUGAUCCAGCCAUUCCGCGUGAGUGAAGAAGGCCUUCGGGUUGUAAAGCUCUUUCGCAAGGGAAGAAAACUUAGGCGCUAAUAUCGCCUGAGGUUGACGGUACCUUGAUAAGAAGCACCGGCUAACUACGUGCCAGCAGCCGCGGUAAUACGUAGGGUGCGAGCGUUAAUCGGAAUUACUGGGCGUAAAGCGUGCGCAGGCGGUUUUGUAAGUCAGAUGUGAAAUCCCCGAGCUCAACUUGGGAACUGCGUUUGAAACUAUAAGACUAGAAUAUGUCAGAGGGGGGUAGAAUUCCACGUGUAGCAGUGAAAUGCGUAGAGAUGUGGAGGAAUACCAAUGGCGAAGGCAGCCCCCUGGGAUAAUAUUGACGCUCAUGCACGAAAGCGUGGGGAGCAAACAGGAUUAGAUACCCUGGUAGUCCACG